GAUGGAACGCAGCGAAAUGCGAUAAGUAAUGUGAAUUGCAGAAUUCAGUGAAUCAUCGAAUCUUUGAACGCACAUUGCGCCCCUUGGUAUUCCGAGGGGCAUGCCUGUUCGAGCGUCAUUAUAACCCCUCAAGCUCAGCUUGGUGUUGGGGCCUGCUGCACUGGCAGCCCUUAAAAUCAGUGGCGGCGCCAUCUGGCUCUAAGCGUAGUAAUUCUUCUCGCUAUGGAGUCCUGGUGGAUGCUUGCCAUCAACCCCCAAUUUUUCUAUGGUUGACCUCGGAUCAGGUAGGGAUACCCGCUGAACUUAAGCAUAUCAAUAAGCGGAGGA
Molecule: unclassified non-coding RNA, 327 nt
Filed under: soil metagenome
Description: partial contains 5.8S ribosomal RNA, internal transcribed spacer 2, and large subunit ribosomal RNA
Rfam family: 5.8S ribosomal RNA (bases 4-118)
Source: RNAcentral